CAAUCAAACCGGGAGAUAGCUGGUUCUCCCCGAAAGCUAUUUAGGUAGCGCCUCGUGAAUUCAUCUCCGGGGGUAGAGCACUGUUUCGGCAAGGGGGUCAUCCCGACUUACCAACCCGAUGCAAACUGCGAAUACCGGAGAAUGUUAUCACGGGAGACACACGGCGGGUGCUAACGUCCGUCGUGAAGAGGGAAACAACCCAGACCGCCAGCUAAGGUCCCAAAGUCAUGGUUAAGUGGGAAACGAUGUGGGAAGGCCCAGACAGCCAGGAUGUUGGCUUAGAAGCAGCCAUCAUUUAAAGAAAGCGUAAUAGCUCACUGGUCGAGUCGGCCUGCGCGGAAGAUGUAACGGGGCUAAACCAUGCACCGAAGCUGCGGCAGCGACACUAUGUGUUGUUGGGUAGGGGAGCGUUCUGUAAGCCUGUGAAGGUGGCCUGUGAGGGUUGCUGGAGGUAUCAGAAGUGCGAAUGCUGACAUAAGUAACGAUAAAGCGGGUGAAAAGCCCGCUCGCCGGAAGACCAAGGGUUCCUGUCCAACGUUAAUCGGGGCAGGGUGAGUCGACCCCUAAGGCGAGGCCGAAAGGCGUAGUCGAUGGGAAACAGGUUAAUAUUCCUGUACUUGGUGUUACUGCGAAGGGGGGACGGAGAAGGCUAUGUUGGCCGGGCGACGGUUGUCCCGGUUUAAGCGUGUAGGCUGGUUUUCCAGGCAAAUCCGGAAAAUCAAGGCUGAGGCGUGAUGACGAGGCACUACGGUGCUGAAGCGACAAAUGCCCUGCUUCCAGGAAAAG
RNAcentral lists this ribosomal RNA (786 nucleotides) under Escherichia coli. Its description in RNAcentral is "partial 23S ribosomal RNA". It matches the Rfam family "Bacterial large subunit ribosomal RNA", at positions 830 to 1617 of the family's 2925-position model. Lineage: Bacteria; Pseudomonadati; Pseudomonadota; Gammaproteobacteria; Enterobacterales; Enterobacteriaceae. The record is from RNAcentral.